ACUGAAACGGGAAAAGCCCAGCGCAUACCUCGCGGUCCUUGUUUGGCCGUCGAGGGGUGUUGCGUUCCGGUGGAUCCGUCCCGCUCGAGCCGCUUACCGCCUAAGUCAUUGCUUGAAAGCAGCCCCAGGGAGGGUGAUAGGCCCGUGUGGCGGCGCCUGUAAAAAGGGUGAAGGCGGCCCGGGCGGAGGGAUCUUCACCGUAGAGUCGGGUUGCUUAGUACUGCAGCCCUAAGCAGGUGGUAAACUCCAUCUAAGGCUAAAUACAACCACGAGUCCGAUAGAGAACAAGUACCGUGAGGGAAAGCUGAAAAGGACUUUGAAGAGAGAGUUCAAAAGGACGUGAAACCGUUAGGAGCUUAAACGGGUGGAACCGCGAAGGUCGAACGAGGGGAUUCAGCUCGUGGGCCUCCGGCGAGCAGGGUGCGUUUCAUACGAAUUACCAUGAGAGGACCCGGCGUGAAUUGGAAUUGCCGUGGCCACGCCCCUGCCUCCGGAGUGCCUCUGGGCUUACUUCUCCCUCUAGUAGGUCGCCGCGACCCGUUGCCUCGGACCCCCAGGGCCGUGCUGGAUUGGUAGCCCGGAUCUCACGGUCCGGGUGAUGACCGGCUGCGGUUCCGACGGGCCCGGGCGACGGUCACUGCCAGGAGGCCGGGCCGGGGUUUACUCCGGUUUUGGCGUCUCGCGGCGUGCAAGGGAUCGGUAAUCCACCCGACCCGUCUUGAAACACGGACCAAGGAGUCCAACAUGUGCGCGAGUCUAAGGGUGAACUAAACCCGGAGGCGAAAUGAAAGUGAGCAAAUUGUGCAGGCCGAUCCCCGGUCGGGCUUUUGCUGGUGGGUAGGCGUCCGGGCGUGAGGUAGUUUCCGCCUGGGUGGCCGCCUGCCGGGGCCCGACUGAGAAGCAUUAUUGCCGGGGCGCAGGCCGAGGACUUGUCGCCUAGCGGCCCCGGGGACGGGGUUGCCGCGCUUUCGGGCGCGGCGGCUCUCACCCGGGUGUCCGCUGGCAAGUACCUAAGAGCGCACACGUUGGGACCCGAAAGAUGGUGAACUAUGCCCGGCGAGGAUGAAGCCAGAGGAAACUCUGGUGGAGGUCCGAAGCAGUUCUGACGUGCAAAUCGAUUGUCAGAGCUGGGUAUAGGGGCGAAAGACUAAUCGAACCAUCUAGUAGCUGGUUCCCUCCGAAGUUUCCCUCAGGAUAGCUGGCAUUCAGGAGGAUGAGUUUCAUCCGGUAAAGCGAAUGAUUAGAGGCCUUGGGGGUGCAAUGCCCUCAACCUAUUCUCAAACUUUAAAUGGGUGAGAUGUGGGGCUUGCUUGAUCACAUGAAGCUCUAUGAGACAGAAUCAGAGUGCCUAGUGGGCCACUUUUGGUAAGCAGAACUGGCGCUGUGGGAUGAACCAAACGCACGAGUUAAGGGGCCUAAACGAAUGCUAAUGUAGACACUAAGAAAAGGUGUUGGUUGCUAUAGACAGCAGGGCGGUGGCCAUGGAAGUUGGAAUCCGCUAAGGAGUGUGUAACAACUCACCUGCCGAAGCAACUAGCCCUUAAAAUGGUAUGGCGCUCAAGCAUUCUCCCGAUACUCGGCCGCCGGGGCAAUGUCCUGGCCCUCCUUGACGGAGGGCCUCGAGGCCCCGGCGAGUAGGAGGGUCGCAGCGGUGAGCGCAGAAGGGACCCGGCGUGAGCCGGCCUGGAGCCGCCGCUGGUGCAGAUCUUGGUGGUAGUAGCAAAUAAUCAAGAGAGAGCCUCGUUGGCUGAUGUGGAGAAGGGUUCCAUGUCAACAUCAGUUGAACAUGGGUGAGUCAGGCCUAAGCCCAAGGAUAAACUUCCUGUGUCCCAGGUGUUCCGCAGGCUGUAGAGACUGGACAGGUCCCAUGACAAAAGCAAAGCUUUAAAAGCAAGAUGAAAAACAACCCAAUGCAUGGAAGGGAUGCAGAGACGAAGGAAAUUUAAGUUA
Molecule: ribosomal RNA, 1950 nt
Filed under: Heterocarpus ensifer
Lineage: Eukaryota; Metazoa; Arthropoda; Malacostraca; Decapoda; Pandalidae
Description: eukaryotic LSU rRNA
Rfam family: Eukaryotic large subunit ribosomal RNA
Source: RNAcentral